CUACGGGGGGCUCCAGUGGGGAAUAUUGGACAAUGGGGGCAACCCUGAUCCAGCAAUGCCGCGUGUGUGAAGAAGGCCUGCGGGUUGUAAAGCACUUUCAAUAGGGAGGAAAAGCUUUGGGUUAAUACCCCGAAGUCUUGACGUUACCUUUAGUAGAAGCACCGGCUAACUCUGUGCCAGCAGCCGCGGUAAUACAGAGGGUGCGAGCGUUAAUCGGAAUUACUGGGCGUAAAGCGCGCGUAGGCGGUUUGAUAAGUCAGAUGUGAAAGCCCCGGGCUUAACCUGGGAACUGCAUUUGAUACUGUCAAACUAGAGUAUGGUAGAGGGUAGUAGAAUUCCUGGUGUAGCGGUGAAAUGCGUAGAUAUCAGGAGGAAUACCAGUGGCGAAGGCGGCUACCUGGACCAAUACUGACGCUGAGGUGCGAAAGCGUGGGGAGCAAACAGGAUUAGAUACCCCUGUAGUC
This 464-nucleotide ribosomal RNA is filed under the name uncultured bacterium. RNAcentral's name for it is "partial 16S ribosomal RNA". It matches the Rfam family "Bacterial small subunit ribosomal RNA", at positions 339 to 795 of the family's 1533-position model. The record is from RNAcentral.